RNAcentral lists this ribosomal RNA (383 nucleotides) under Escherichia coli. RNAcentral describes it as "partial 16S ribosomal RNA". It matches the Rfam family "Bacterial small subunit ribosomal RNA", at positions 64 to 449 of the family's 1533-position model. RNAcentral also lists the same sequence under 1 other name. The record is from RNAcentral. Lineage: Bacteria; Pseudomonadati; Pseudomonadota; Gammaproteobacteria; Enterobacterales; Enterobacteriaceae.
UAACAGGAAGCAGCUUGCUGUUUCGCUGACGAGUGGCGGACGGGUGAGUAAUGUCUGGGAAACUGCCUGAUGGAGGGGGAUAACUACUGGAAACGGUAGCUAAUACCGCAUAACGUCGCAAGACCAAAGAGGGGGACCUUCGGGCCUCUUGCCAUCGGAUGUGCCCAGAUGGGAUUAGCUAGUAGGUGGGGUAACGGCUCACCUAGGCGACGAUCCCUAGCUGGUCUGAGAGGAUGACCAGCCACACUGGAACUGAGACACGGUCCAGACUCCUACGGGAGGCAGCAGUGGGGAAUAUUGCACAAUGGGCGCAAGCCUGAUGCAGCCAUGCCGCGUGUAUGAAGAAGGCCUUCGGGUUGUAAAGUACUUUCAGCGGGGAGGAA